RNAcentral lists this ribosomal RNA (497 nucleotides) under uncultured bacterium. RNAcentral describes it as "partial 16S ribosomal RNA". It matches the Rfam family "Bacterial small subunit ribosomal RNA", at positions 28 to 507 of the family's 1533-position model. The record is from RNAcentral.
GAUGAACGCUGGCGGCGUGCCUAACACAUGCAAGUCGAGCGAACAGACGAGGAGCUUGCUCCUCUGACGUUAGCGGCGGACGGGUGAGUAACACGUGGAUAACCUACCUAUAAGACUGGGAUAACUACGGGACACCGGAGCUAAUCCCGGAUAAUCUCUUGCACCGCAUGGUUCAAUAGUGAAAGACGGUUUUGGUGUCUCUUCUAGCUGGAUACGGGCCGCAUUAGCUAGUGGGUAAGGUCACGGCUUACCAAGGCGACGAGGCGUAGCCGACCGCCGGGACGGAUCGGCCGCACGAGAACGGAGACACGGACCAUACUCCUACGGUAGGCAGCAGUAUGGAAUCGGACGCAAUGGGCGAAAGCCUGACGCAGCAACGCCGCGCGAGAGGUGAAGGUCUCCGGUGCGUAAAACUCGGUUAUGAGGGAAGAACAGAUGUCUAAGUAACCAUGGCCGUCUUGACGGUACCGAAUCAGAAAGCCCCGGCUAACUACGUG